RNAcentral lists this ribosomal RNA (478 nucleotides) under uncultured bacterium. RNAcentral's name for it is "partial 16S ribosomal RNA". It matches the Rfam family "Bacterial small subunit ribosomal RNA", at positions 28 to 507 of the family's 1533-position model. The record is from RNAcentral.
GAUGAACGCUAGCGGCAGGCCUAACACAUGCAAGUCGAGGGAGAAGCCCUUUCGGGGGCAGAAACCGGCGCACGGGUGCGUAACGCGUAUGCAACCUACCUUUCACAGGGGGAUAGCCCGAAGAAAUUUGGAUUAAUACCCCAUAAUAUUGUUGGAUGGCAUCAUUUGGCAAUUAAAACUGCGGUGGUGAAAGAUGGGCAUGCGUCCUAUUAGCUAGUUGGAGUGGUAACGGCACCCCAAGGCUACGAUAGGUAGGGGUCCUGAGAGGGAGAUCCCCCACACUGGUACUGAGACAGGGACCAGACUCCUACGGGAGGCAGCAGUGAGGAAUAUUGGUCAAUGGUCGGAAGACUGAACCAGCCAUGCCGCGUGCAGGAAGAAUGCCCUAUGGGUUGUAAACUGCUUUUAUAUGGGAAGAAUAAGGCGUACGUGUACGUUGAUGACGGUACCAUAUGAAUAAGCAUCGGCUAACUCCGUG